CCUACGGGUGGCAGCAGUGGGGAAUAUUGGACAAUGGGCGAAAGCCUGAUCCAGCCAUGCCGCGUGUGUGAAGAAGGCCUUCGGGUUGUAAAGUACUUUCAGUGGGGAAGAAAGCCUUGGGGCUAAUACCCUCGAGGAAGGACAUCACCCACAGAAGAAGCACCGGCUAACUCCGUGCCAGCAGCCGCGGUAAUACGGAGGGUGCGAGCGUUAAUCGGAAUUACUGGGCGUAAAGCGCGCGUAGGCGGUCUGAUAAGCCGGUUGUGAAAGCCCCGGGCUCAACCUGGGAACGGCAUCCGGAGCUGUCAGGCUAGGGGGCAGGAGAGGAAGGUAGAAUUCCCGGUGUAGCGGUGAAAUGCGUAGAGAUCGGGAGGAAAACCAGUGGCGAAGGCGGCCUUCUGGACUGACACUGACGCUGAGGUGCGAAAGCGUGGGUAGCAAACAGGAUUAGAUACCCUUGUAGUC
RNAcentral lists this ribosomal RNA (465 nucleotides) under Vreelandella stevensii. RNAcentral describes it as "partial 16S ribosomal RNA". It matches the Rfam family "Bacterial small subunit ribosomal RNA", at positions 338 to 795 of the family's 1533-position model. Lineage: Bacteria; Pseudomonadati; Pseudomonadota; Gammaproteobacteria; Oceanospirillales; Halomonadaceae. The record is from RNAcentral.